RNAcentral lists this unclassified non-coding RNA (87 nucleotides) under Pseudomonas sp. bs2935. Lineage: Bacteria; Pseudomonadati; Pseudomonadota; Gammaproteobacteria; Pseudomonadales; Pseudomonadaceae. The record is from RNAcentral.
GUGGGAGGGGGCUUGCCCCCGAUAGCGGUGUGUCAGCCAGUGUAUUGGGCUCUGACACUCCGUAAUCGGGGGCAAGCCCCCUCCCAC